Molecule: small RNA, 1144 nt
Filed under: Pongo abelii (Sumatran orangutan)
Lineage: Eukaryota; Metazoa; Chordata; Mammalia; Primates; Hominidae
Description: retained intron
Source: RNAcentral
CCGUGUGUGAAUGUGUAUUUGUGUGCACAUGGCCUGAGUGCCUGAGUGAGAGGUGUGUGUAACGUGUAUAUUUUGCAUGUGUGCUCUGGUGCAUUUUGAGCGUGAGUACAAGCAGCAGGAUUUGUGCCGGCGUGUGACUGUGCACACACUCGUAUUCACAUGUGAGGAUGCCUGUGGGGAAUGGUGAGCAUGUGUAUUGCUGGACAUGGAUGGAUUCUGCAUCUCUGCACCUCAGGGCAGACAUGUAGGUGUUUGCUUGUGUUUGCAGGAUGGUGUGGCAUGUGCUAGGUUUUUCACAUGUCUGAUUCUUGGGCAUGCCCUCUUCGUGUGUGUGUGUGUGUGUGUGUGUGUGUGUACUUGGCCUCUGCUAGGCCUAAAGAGCAGGUAUGUCCAGGAUCCAGAGCUGGGACUGGGGAAGGCAGGGCUGGCCAGGCCCGAGGCAGAGCUGUGUACACACACCCUUCACAUCACAGCUAGCAGAGGGAGGAGGGGCUGCUGUGGAGACAGUGGGUGAGCUCCCAGCCUUGGAUCUGAGCAAGAGCUGGAGCCUCCAUCUGGCGGGGGCUGGACCUACCGGGGCUAGAGCUCAUAACUCUGUUCCAGCAUCUUCCUCACGGCAAUUCUGGGCCUGCCCGAAGCCCUGAUCCCUGUGCAGCUGCUCUGGGUGAACCUGGUGACAGACGGCCUACCUGCCACAGCUCUGGGCUUCAACCCGCCAGACCUGGACAUCAUGGAGAAGCUGCCCCGGAGCCCCCGCGAAGCCCUCAUCAGUGGCUGGCUCUUCUUUCGAUACCUGGCUAUCGGAGUGUACGUAGGCCUGGCCACAGUGGCUGCCGCCACCUGGUGGUUCCUGUAUGAUGCCGAGGGACCUCACGUCAACUUCUACCAGCUGAGGAACUUCCUGAAGUGCUCCGAAGACAACCCGCUCUUUGCCGGCAUCGACUGUGAGGUGUUCGAGUCGCGUUUCCCCACCACCAUGGCAUUGUCCGUGCUCGUGACCAUUGAAAUGUGCAAUGCUCUCAACAGCGUCUCAGAGAACCAGUCGCUGCUGCGGAUGCCGCCCUGGAUGAACCCCUGGCUGCUGGCAGCUGUGGCCAUGUCCAUGGCCCUGCACUUCCUCAUCCUGCUCGUGCCGCCCCUGCCU